This is a long non-coding RNA of Ochotona curzoniae (black-lipped pika), 362 nucleotides long. RefSeq lists it as uncharacterized. The transcript has 4 exons. NCBI's taxonomy places the organism in Eukaryota, Metazoa, Chordata, Mammalia, Lagomorpha, Ochotonidae. The record is from RefSeq and is a predicted model, not a curated record.
CAGCGGUAAGCCGGAUGGUGAGUGAGGAAGGCUGCAGAGGCAGGCAGGGGCUGGAGCUCAGGCCCAGACCUGGUGAAUGUCCCGGGAGGUCAGCAUCUCUAAAGGGGAUGGGGGCUCAGAGCUGAGCCGCAGUUCAUCCAGCAAAGGCCUGCCGCCGCCAUGCCACCCUGCCUUCGCUGCAUUGGCAGUGAGAAAGACCCAGAACAUUCCAUAGGAAACCUGCUAUAAAUAGACUCCGGCUCCACCCCUCUGUCCAGGCUGGAGCCUGGAAAGGCAGCGGAAGAUGGCUCAAAUCCUUGGGACACUGUAACCGUGUAAGAGACCUGGAAAGCAGCUUCGGACCAGUCCUGCUCUGGCUGCGG